RNAcentral lists this ribosomal RNA (254 nucleotides) under uncultured bacterium. RNAcentral's name for it is "partial 16S ribosomal RNA". It matches the Rfam family "Bacterial small subunit ribosomal RNA", at positions 524 to 776 of the family's 1533-position model. The record is from RNAcentral.
UACGUAGGGUGCGAGCGUUGUCCGGAAUUAUUGGGCGUAAAGAGCUCGUAGGCGGUGUGUCACGUCGUCCGUGAAAACCUGCAGCUUAACUGUGGGCGUGCGGUCGAUACGGGCAUCACUGGAGUUCGGCAGGAGAGACUGGAAUUCCUGGUGUAGCGGUGAAAUGCGCAGAUAUCAGGAGGAACACCGGUGGCGAAGGCGGGUCUCUGGGCCGAUACUGACGCUGAGGAGCGAAAGCGUGGGGAGCAAACAGG